This 236-nucleotide ribosomal RNA is filed under the name uncultured bacterium. Its description in RNAcentral is "partial 16S ribosomal RNA". It matches the Rfam family "Bacterial small subunit ribosomal RNA", at positions 118 to 351 of the family's 1533-position model. The record is from RNAcentral.
UGAGUAACCUGCCCUUAACUCUGGGAUAAGCCUGGGAAACUGGGUCUAAUACCGGAUAUGACUCCUCAUCGCAUGGUGGGGGGUGGAAAGCUUUUUGUGGUUUUGGAUGGACUCGCGGCCUAUCAGCUUGUUGGUGAGAUAAUGGCUCACCAAGGCGACGACGGGUAGCCGGCCUGAGAGGGUGACCGGCCACACUGGGACUGAGACACGGCCCAGACCUCCGUACGGGGAGGCAG